AAAAAAAUGCUGCUUGGAGACAAGUGUCCACGAUAGUAGGAUUGCCAGAAGAUUUUAGGAGGAAGUGGAGAGGACUCAGGGACAGGUGACAGAGAGAGAGAAGAAGAGGUCUGGGUCAGCAGCCUUGGCGCUUCUGCUACAUUCUUUCUUUUCUGGAUCCAUUUAUUGUGCCUAUGGCAACGAGUGGCAAUUUUACAGCCAGACCCUCUACUACGUCAUCCACAAGUGUUGUCGCCACCGGUGCAUCAAGACCCUCAACGUCACCUACAAGUGUGACCAUCACCUCCACCGGUGGAGUGAGACCCUCUACAACAUCAUCCACGAGUAUGACCACCACCGGUGCAGCGAGACCCUCUACAACGUCUACAUCAUCCACAAGUAUGACCACCACCGGUGCAGCGAGACCCUCUACAACGUCUACAUCAUCCACGAGUAUGACCACUACCGGUGCAGCGAGACCCUCUACAACGUCUACAUCAUCCACGAGUAUGACCACUACCGGUGCAGCGAGACCCUCUACAACAUCUACAUCAUCCACGAGUAUGACCACUACCGGUGCAGCGAGACCCUCUACAACAUCUACAUCAUCCACGAGUAUGACCACUACCGGUGCAGCGAGACCCUCUACAACGUCUACAUCAUCCACGAGUAUGACCACUACCGGUGCAGCCAUGGAAGAUGAUGAAAUGGAGGAAGCACCUCUGGAUCUAGGACCACCUGAGAUUAUUAUGAACCUCACGGAAGUGACCACUGAGGACCUCGUUGAACAGGAUGUGGCCGUGGAGACAAACGAGAGAAACAGAGAGAGAAACAAAGAGGAACAACGUCACACCAGGCGUCAUCGGAGGUACCAGCCCCCAGAUCCGCUCAACUCAUUUCAGCAAAGGCUCCUCCAAGUCGUCAAGAGGGAUGCAGCCCAACCUGAUGCUCACAGGAAGGAGGAUGAAGAGACCCUCUUUGCCAUGAGCCUGGUGCCAACACUGAAGAGACUGCCUCAGCAAAGAAAAACAGCAGUAUGGGGUUAAAAUGUAUCAGCUGCUUUUCGAAGCCAAGUUCAAUGAGAUGGAGUCCAUUUAGCCGACCAGCUCACAGGAAGGACAGGAAGAGGAGAGGAAGGACAGGAAGAGGAGAGGAAGGACAGGAAGAGGAGAGGAAGGACAGGAAAGACAGGAAGAGGAGAGGAAGGACAGGAAGAGGAGAGGAAGGACAGGAAGAGGAGUUGUCUGGGUGUUGUUUUGACCUCCCUCAUUGUACCUUUCUUUUCACACACGUCAGUUCCCUUUAAAUUCAGUCAAUUCAUAAAGUCAUUUGUUUAUAAAGUCUUAGGAUAGCAUUCAUUAUUAGUGUUACAUAGAUUUCUGAAUUGACAGAAUCCCUCACCCUGGUGACAUCAGGUAGGUGACCAUUUGGCGUGCCCAUCUCCAUCCGGAGCGGCUCCUGGAAUGACCUCCGCAGGUAGUUGUGGAGAACACGUGGCCUUCACGCAGGCAGCGACAUUUGAGGGGCUGAGACCAAGCACUCUCCGAUACAUUCUCCACCGGGCUGCCAGAAUCCCAAAGGCGCAUUCAACAACUAACCUUGCCCUGGACAGUCGUUUGUUAAAGAUCCUUACAGGCUUUGGCAAUGGCAGCUGGCGUCCAGCGUAGGGCCUCAUGAGGUUGGGUCUUAAAGGGAAGGCCUCGUCGCCGACGAAGACGUGGGGAACAGGUCCCAGGUCUUCAGCCCCAGGGAGUGAUGCAGGUGGUGAAAUCUCCAGGGUGCCAUCCUGAAGUGCCUGGCCGAAGGCAGAGUCCCGGAGGGUCCCGCCAUCACUUCCCUUGCCGUAAGCACCAACAUCGACAACACGGAAACAGUAGAUGGCAUCUACUACAGCCAAGAGUACAACUGAAUAUGUACCCUUGUAGUUGUAGAAUUGUGAACCUGAGCACGGUGGAGCCUGGAUUACUACAUGUUUCCCGUCAAUGGAACCAAGACAGUUGGGGAAAUUCCACCUCUCCAGGAACUCGGCAGCGUUGGCCCUCCAGUCUUCCUCCUUGGGGACAGGCAUGUAUUCACCAACCAGACAGUCCCAAAUGGCUUGUGCCACAGGGGGACAAUGCCUGCCACCGUGGACCGUCCAACUCGGAAGCUGAAUCCUAUGGUCCUGUAGGAGUCCCCUGUCGCCAAGAAUCUGAAAUAUAAUUCAAAAUAAUGAUCAAUAUUGUGUGUAACUUGAAUUCCACCCACAUAUUAUAUAUAGCUACCUCAUUACAGUUUAUUAUGCUCUUGUAACUGAUGUGAAAUGGCUAGCUAAUUAGCGGGUACGCGCUAAUAGCGUUUCAAUCGGUUACGUCACUUGC
Salvelinus namaycush (lake trout) is the source of this 2339-nucleotide long non-coding RNA. RefSeq lists it as uncharacterized. NCBI's taxonomy places the organism in Eukaryota, Metazoa, Chordata, Actinopteri, Salmoniformes, Salmonidae. The transcript has 3 exons. The record is from RefSeq and is a predicted model, not a curated record.